UUGUGACUCUAAUCUUCACAAUUAUCGUUUUUAAGUUAUAAAAUUCUACUCGCGGACGAUCUCAACACGACUAAGAUAAAUAUUUCGUCUAUUUUGUUCUAGGCAGAAAAGAUCCAUGUUCCAGGUUCAUCUGCUACAACGGGGGAGUGUGUAUCAGAGCCUUUGGCAGCCCCCAUACCUGUGUGUGUCCACCUGAUUUCACCGGACCACGAUGUAAAACAAAAGUGACGACUACGGCCAGAUGUCCAGCUACAGAAACAUUUGGAAUACAGGAAGGAAAAAAAUGUGUAAGUGACACAAUGUGUGCAGACAAUCAGAUCUGUUGUUACAGCGCUACUGACAGAAGAUGUACUUACGUGCCCAAUCACCUUGAACUCCUCUACAACCCUACCUGUGGCGGGUGUCCCGGACUUCUGGAAUGCAUAGAAAUAGAUAAAAAGUACAGAUGCGUCUUCCUCGAGUGAAACCAUACAACAGUCUGGAAUUCCUAAUAAUCCAGACGAUUUACCUUACUAAUUUAAAACUGCAAUAGAACCUUAAUAUAAAAACAUUAUAAAAUUGUAUCAAAACUGCUAAUUGUAUGCCAUUUUAUUUUUUGUGAUUAAAGUAUCUUCCUUUUAAACUAAUCUUAAUAUAUUGUCAAAAAGCAUACUACAAAUAAACUUGUAUAAAUAAAAUG
This is a long non-coding RNA of Physella acuta, 679 nucleotides long. RefSeq lists it as uncharacterized. The record is from RefSeq and is a predicted model, not a curated record. Lineage: Eukaryota; Metazoa; Mollusca; Gastropoda; Physidae.